This 243-nucleotide ribosomal RNA is filed under the name Triticum aestivum (bread wheat). RNAcentral describes it as "partial small subunit ribosomal RNA". The record is from RNAcentral. Lineage: Eukaryota; Viridiplantae; Streptophyta; Magnoliopsida; Poales; Poaceae.
AUGAAAGAGCUGGCCCUCAAGGAAGACGAUCUCGAUGAUGUGAUCUUCGAGGAUGAUGAUGCCCCAGCAGAGGAGGUGCUCCGCUGGAUGAUUUUAGCUCGAGUCCAUAUGGACAAGGGCUUCAGCACCUAUUGGUUCUUUCGCAACAUGAGAUCAGCAUGGGAUCUAGCCAGGCCAGUCAAGAUUAAAACUUUGGAGGAAAACCUUUUUCAGAUGCAAUUUGAUUGCUUGGGGGACUGGGAG